UACGUAGGGUGCGAGCGUUGUCCGGAAUUAUUGGGCGUAAAGAGCUCGUAGGCGGCCUGUCACGUCGGAUGUGAAAACCCGGGGCUCAACCCCGGGCCUGCAUUCGAUACGGGCAGGCUAGAGUUCGGCAGGGGAGACUGGAAUUCCUGGUGUAGCGGUGAAAUGCGCAGAUAUCAGGAGGAACACCGGUGGCGAAGGCGGGUCUCUGGGCCGAUACUGACGCUGAGGAGCGAAAGCGUGGGGAGCGAACAGG
RNAcentral lists this ribosomal RNA (253 nucleotides) under uncultured bacterium. Its description in RNAcentral is "partial 16S ribosomal RNA". It matches the Rfam family "Bacterial small subunit ribosomal RNA", at positions 524 to 776 of the family's 1533-position model. The record is from RNAcentral.